CCUACGGGAGGCAGCAGUAGGGAAUAUUGCACAAUGGGGGAAACCCUGAAGCAGCAACGCCGCGUGGAGGAUGAAGGUUUUCGGAUUGUAAACUCCUGUUGUUAGAGAAGAUAAUGACGGUAUCUAACGAAUAAGCACCGGCUAACUCCGUGCCAGAAGCCGCGGUAAUACGGAGGGUGCAAGCGUUACUCGGAAUCACGGGGCGUAAAGGGCCCGUAGGCGGGAUAGCAAGUCAGAUGUGAAAUCCUAUGGCUUAACCAUAGAACUGCAUUUGAAACUGUUAUUCUAGAGUAUGGUAGAGGUGGGUGGAAUUCUUUGUGUAGGGGUAAAAUCCGUAGAGAUCAAGAGGAAUACUCAUUGCGAAGGCGACCUGCUAGAACAUAACUGACGCUGAUGCGUGAAAGCGUGGGGAGCAAACAGGAUUAGAUACCCGGGUAGUC
This 440-nucleotide ribosomal RNA is filed under the name uncultured bacterium. Its description in RNAcentral is "partial 16S ribosomal RNA". It matches the Rfam family "Bacterial small subunit ribosomal RNA", at positions 338 to 795 of the family's 1533-position model. The record is from RNAcentral.